UACGAAGGGGGCGAGCGUUGUUCGGAAUUACUGGGCGUAAAGGGCGCGCAGGCGGCUCUGAAAGUCAGAUGUGAAAGCCCCGGGCUUAACCUGGGAAUUGCAUUUGAUACUCUGGAGCUUGAGUACGGGAGAGGAGAGUGGAAUUCCUGGUGUAGCGGUGAAAUGCGUAGAUAUCAGGAGGAAUACCGGUGGCGAAAGCGACUCUCUGGACGGCAACUGACGCUGAGGCACGAAAGCGUGGGGAGCAAACAGG
Molecule: ribosomal RNA, 253 nt
Filed under: uncultured bacterium
Lineage: Bacteria
Description: partial 16S ribosomal RNA
Rfam family: Bacterial small subunit ribosomal RNA
Source: RNAcentral